ACAAAAACAUGUCCUGUUGGUGUUUUAUUUCAGGUCUGGCCUGCCCACUGAUUUAUAUUGAAGGGCCGCAGUAUUUUGACUGUGCGAAGGUAGCAUAAUCAUUUGUCUUUUAAUUGUAGGCUUGUAUGAAUGGUUUGAUGAGAUAUUAACUUUCUUUAUUUUAAAUAUUGAAUUUAAUUUUUUAGUUAAAAAGCUAAAAUUUUUUUAUGGGACGAGAAGACCCUAUAGAAUUUUAAUAUAUUUAGUUUUUAUUAUAUUUGGGAAUUUAUUAUUUUAAAAAAUAAUUAUAUUUUUGUUGGGGCGACAGGGAAAUUUUAUUAACUUUCUUUAUUUAUAAUUUAUUAAUUAGUAUUUUAAUGAUCCUAUAUUAUGGAUAUCAAGAUUAA
This 386-nucleotide ribosomal RNA is filed under the name Tessaratoma quadrata. RNAcentral's name for it is "partial 16S ribosomal RNA". The record is from RNAcentral. Lineage: Eukaryota; Metazoa; Arthropoda; Insecta; Hemiptera; Tessaratomidae.